GGACUCAUGCAUUUUUCGGAUUGGUUCCCGCUAGGAGAGAGCUCUUCCAGGUGCGAAUAUUGUGGAUCUUCUGUUUACAUUUUCUUGUUGCAUUGUUCUUCAUGCAAUUUCCUUGAUGUCUUUAGCUUUUAUUCACCGUUUGGAUGCAACUUUUCUGCUACUCUCUCGUUUUUUUAUGAUUUUCACUUAAGGAUAUUUAUGCAUAUGAGAGCAUCAGAAUCAUACAUAUAUUCUCUGUCCUUCCCUGUACGUGGAGCUUGGAGCAUGCAUGGAUAUCUCUAUCUCUCUCUACCCACACCCUCAUGCAUGUGUUCAUCUAAACAUACCGCCCAAAACCCAUUCUUUCUCUGUAUCCUCAUGUCCUUUAUCCACCCC
RNAcentral lists this long non-coding RNA (375 nucleotides) under Vitis vinifera (wine grape). RNAcentral describes it as "long non-coding RNA (VVIN_LNC000852)". The record is from RNAcentral. Lineage: Eukaryota; Viridiplantae; Streptophyta; Magnoliopsida; Vitales; Vitaceae.